This 460-nucleotide ribosomal RNA is filed under the name uncultured Methylomirabilota bacterium. Its description in RNAcentral is "bacterial SSU rRNA". It matches the Rfam family "Bacterial small subunit ribosomal RNA", at positions 977 to 1434 of the family's 1533-position model. Lineage: Bacteria; Methylomirabilota (SeqCode). The record is from RNAcentral.
GGGCUUGACAUCCCACGAACCUGCCUGAAAGGGUGGGGUGCCCGCAAGGGAGCGUGGAGACAGGUGGUGCAUGGCUGUCGUCAGCUCGUGUCGUGAGAUGUUGGGUUGAGUCCCGCAACGAGCGCAACCCUCACCCCUAGUUGCGACCGGGUUAUGCCGAGCACUCGAGGGGAACUGCCAGCGUCAAGCUGGAGGAAGGCGGGGAUGACGUCAAGUCAUCAUGCCCCUUACGCCCUGGGCUACACACGUGCUACGAUGGCCAGUACAAAGGGAUGCGAGACUGCGAAGUGGAGCUAAUCCCAAAAAGCUGGUCUAAGUUCAGAUUGCAGUCCGCAACUCGACUGCAUGAAGGAGGAAUCGCUAGCAAUCGCGCAUCAGCACGGCGCGGUGAAUACGUUCCCGGGCCUUGUACACACCGCCCGUCACACCACGAAAGCUGUCUGUACUCGAAGUCGCUGAG